This 253-nucleotide ribosomal RNA is filed under the name uncultured bacterium. RNAcentral describes it as "partial 16S ribosomal RNA". It matches the Rfam family "Bacterial small subunit ribosomal RNA", at positions 524 to 776 of the family's 1533-position model. The record is from RNAcentral.
UACGUAGGGUGCGAGCGUUAAUCGGAAUUACUGGGCGUAAGGCGUGCGCAGGCGGUUCGUUGUGUCGGCGGUGAAAGCCCCGGGCUUAACCUGGGAAUGGCAGUGGAUACUGGAAAGCUAGAGUGCGGUAGAGGGUAGUGGAAUUCCCGGUGUAGCAGUGAAAUGCGUAGAGAUCGGGAGGAACACCAGUGGCGAAGGCGGCUACCUGGACCAGCACUGACACUGAGGCGCGAAAGCUAGGGGAGCAAACGGG